GCUAUUCCGGGCCCGGCCCGCUCCGGGCCCUCCCAGCGUCGCCGCUAGCUGACUUAGGGCUACCGCCCACACUGCGCACGGCCUUGCUGAGGGCCGGCUGGUAGUGGGAGGCUUCGCGUUCACCUGAACAUUUCCGCCUCCUCUGGAUGGGGGAUGAGAGGCGGGGCUGAUGCAUCGCCCCAGUCCUAGACCCUGACUUCGGACUUGGAGAAGAAACGCCGAGGAGGAACGGGAGUUAGGGGGCUAGCAUCUUGGCGGGCUGGGAGCCGCUCACCCCUGGCCUCCGGACUUCACUUCCCAGGAGGCCUCGCGCGCGACUGGAAGUGCUGCGAGCCUAUAAGAAGGCGAGGCUGCGCCCGCCGCUUGUUCUGGGGUGGCAUUGCCAGCCGGCUGUAGGCAUUUGGGGCAGUGUCUUCUGCAUCUCCUAGGAACCUCGGGAGCGGCAGCUCCGGCGCCUGGUAGCGAGAGGCGGGUUCCGGAGAUCCCGGCCUCACUUCGUCCCACUGUGGUUAGGGGUGAGUCCUGCAAAUGUUAAGUGAUUUGCUCAAGGUGCCCAUUUUGCAGGAAUUGGAGCCCAGGCCAGUUCUCUGAGCCUAUCAUUAGGGCUAAAGCCAGAGAACUGGGUGCACCUGAGCCAGUGGAGACUUGUGACUUCUCCUUCUU
Molecule: small RNA, 663 nt
Filed under: Pongo abelii (Sumatran orangutan)
Lineage: Eukaryota; Metazoa; Chordata; Mammalia; Primates; Hominidae
Description: processed transcript
Source: RNAcentral